Molecule: transfer RNA, 72 nt
Filed under: Erinaceus europaeus (western European hedgehog)
Lineage: Eukaryota; Metazoa; Chordata; Mammalia; Eulipotyphla; Erinaceidae
Rfam family: tRNA
About the family: Transfer RNA (tRNA) molecules are approximately 80 nucleotides in length.
Source: Rfam by way of RNAcentral
GGGGGGAUAACUCAGCAUUAAAGCACUGGUCUUGCAAGCCUGAGGCCCCAGGUACAAUUCCUGGCGCUUCCA